GACGAACGCUGGCGGCGUGCUUAACACAUGCAAGUCGAACGCUGAAGGCCCAGCUUGCUGGGUUGGAUGAGUGGCGAACGGGUGAGUAACACGUGAGUAACCUGCCCCCUUCUUUGGGAUAACGGUCGGAAACGGCUGCUAAUACCGGGUAUUCACUGUCCUUCGCAUGGGGGGUGGUGGAAAGGUUUUUUCUGGUGGGGGAUGGGCUCGCGGCCUAUCAGCUUGUUGGUGGGGUGAUGGCUUACCAAGGCUUUGACGGGUAACCGGCCUGAGAGGGUGACCGGUCACAUUGGGACUGAGAUACGGCCCAGACUCCUACGGGAGGCAGCAGUGGGGAAUAUUGCACAAUGGGCGAAAGCCUGAUGCAGCGACGCCGCGUGAGGGAUGGAGGCCUUCGGGUUGUAAACCUCUUUCGCUCAUGGUCAAGCCGCAACAGUGGUUGUGGUGAGGGUAGUGGGUAAAGAAGCACCGGCUAACUACGU
Molecule: ribosomal RNA, 482 nt
Filed under: Actinomycetaceae bacterium 'ARUP UnID 69'
Lineage: Bacteria; Bacillati; Actinomycetota; Actinomycetes; Actinomycetales; Actinomycetaceae
Description: bacterial SSU rRNA
Rfam family: Bacterial small subunit ribosomal RNA
Source: RNAcentral